Molecule: ribosomal RNA, 402 nt
Filed under: uncultured cyanobacterium
Lineage: Bacteria; Bacillati; Cyanobacteriota
Description: bacterial SSU rRNA
Rfam family: Bacterial small subunit ribosomal RNA
Source: RNAcentral
GAUGAACGCUGGCGGUAUGCCUAACACAUGCAAGUCGAACGAUGUCUUCGGACAUAGUGGCGGACGGGUGAGUAACGCGUGAGAAUCUGCCUCUAGGAUGGGGAUAACGGUUGGAAACGACCGCUAACACCCAAUAUGCCGUAAGGUGAAAAAUUUAUUGCCUGGAGAGGAGCUCGCGUCUGAUUAGCUAGUUGGUGGGGUAAGAGCUCACCAAGGCCUCGAUCAGUAGCUGGUCUGAGAGGAUGAGCAGCCACACUGGGACUGAGACACGGCCCAGACUCCUACGGGAGGCAGCAGUGGGGAAUUUUCCGCAAUGGGCGAAAGCCUGACGGAGCAAUACCGCGUGAGGGAGGAAUGCCUUUGGGUUGUAAACCUCUUUUCUCAGGGAAGAAGAUCUGACGG